RNAcentral lists this ribosomal RNA (251 nucleotides) under uncultured prokaryote. RNAcentral describes it as "partial 16S ribosomal RNA". It matches the Rfam family "Bacterial small subunit ribosomal RNA", at positions 524 to 776 of the family's 1533-position model. The record is from RNAcentral.
UACGGGGGGUGCAAGCGUUGCUCGGAAUCACUGGGCGUAAAGUGUCCGCAGGUGGGUGUGUGUGUCGGAUGUGAAAUCACGGCUCAACCGUGGAAGUGCACUCGAAACUGCGUAGCUAGAGUCCCGGAGAGGAAGGUGGAAUACUUGGUGUAGAGGUGAAAUUCGUAGAUAUCAAGUGGAACACCGGUGGCGAAGGCGGCCUUCUGGACGGUGACUGACGCUGAGACGCGAAAGCGUGGGGAGCAAACAGG